AUACUUACCUGGCAGAGGAGAUACCAUGGUUUUCCCAGGGCGAGGCUUAUCCAUUGCACUCCGGAUGUGCUGACCCCUGCGAUUUCCCCAAAUGCGGGAAACUCUAGUGCAUGAUUUGUGGUAGUAGGGGACUGUGUUCAUGCUUUCCCCUG
This is a small nuclear RNA of Camelus dromedarius (Arabian camel), 152 nucleotides long. Its record names the gene U1. It matches the Rfam family "U1 spliceosomal RNA". From Rfam's summary of the family: U1 is a small nuclear RNA (snRNA) component of the spliceosome (involved in pre-mRNA splicing). Its 5' end forms complementary base pairs with the 5' splice junction, thus defining the 5' donor site of an intron. NCBI's taxonomy places the organism in Eukaryota, Metazoa, Chordata, Mammalia, Artiodactyla, Camelidae. The record is from Ensembl.